CCGGGCGGUGCGCAAGGCGCGGCGGGUCAUCACCUCGCGGGAGGUGCGGCACGCGGCCUGACCGCGUCCGCCGCCGCUCAGCGCGGUGCGGUCGGG
Molecule: transfer RNA, 96 nt
Filed under: Streptomyces collinus
Lineage: Bacteria; Bacillati; Actinomycetota; Actinomycetes; Kitasatosporales; Streptomycetaceae
Also listed under: 1 other name
Description: tRNA-Ala
Source: RNAcentral